GAUGAACGCUAAUUUCACACUAGUGAAAAACUAAGGACAUGAAUAGAUGGUAAGCACGGGCAAUCAUAUCUGAAUGCUAAUUUCGCUUUUUCCCAAAUUAACUACUAGCUACUUCGAUACAGCAGGAAUGUGAUAUAGAUAUGUGCAUUUAAUAGGAAAUUGAAUAUUUAACUUCUACAAUUUCAGGGCAAGAGUAUUUUAGGAACUGGUUAUACAAGGCAGAGUAGCAUCAC
Molecule: unclassified non-coding RNA, 233 nt
Filed under: Hevea brasiliensis (rubber tree)
Lineage: Eukaryota; Viridiplantae; Streptophyta; Magnoliopsida; Malpighiales; Euphorbiaceae
Source: RNAcentral